RNAcentral lists this ribosomal RNA (253 nucleotides) under uncultured bacterium. Its description in RNAcentral is "partial 16S ribosomal RNA". It matches the Rfam family "Bacterial small subunit ribosomal RNA", at positions 524 to 776 of the family's 1533-position model. The record is from RNAcentral.
UACGUAGGGGGCAAGCGUUGUCCGGAUUUAUUGGGCGUAAAGCGCUCGCAGGUGGUUCGUCGCGUCGUGCGUGAAAGACCCCGGCUCAACUGGGGGAGGUCGUGCGAUACGGGCGAGCUGGAGGCCAGUAGGGGGAUGCGGAAUUCCGGGUGUAGUGGUGGAAUGCGUAGAGAUCCGGAGGAACACCAGCGGCGAAGGCGGCAUCCUGGACUGGUCCUGACACUCAGGAGCGAAAGCGUGGGGAGCGAUCCGG